Panthera uncia (snow leopard) is the source of this 883-nucleotide long non-coding RNA. RefSeq lists it as uncharacterized. The transcript has 6 exons. NCBI's taxonomy places the organism in Eukaryota, Metazoa, Chordata, Mammalia, Carnivora, Felidae. The record is from RefSeq and is a predicted model, not a curated record.
GAUACAGUGCCCGGUUCUUCUCAGGGUACAAUUAGAGAAUUGACAGGUGCGUUAAAGCCGAAUCAGACGCCUUGCCUGCUUCCAAUAUAAUUAAACUUCACGGGAGAUAACCCCCAAACUGCAGAGUCACCCUGACUUGUUCCGAUUGCCAAAAUAAUAACUCCUUGACUAUUUCCUUGGACUCCCCUCAAGAUGAUUUCAUCCUGAAUAUUUGCCCUGCGGGUGUCUAUAGGUCACGACCUUUCAAAGCUAAGAUCCAGACCCUGGGAUGUGAUCACUCCUACAUUUCUGACUCUGUCUCCCACUUGACUGCCUGGAAUACCUCUGAAGGGGUCUGUAAGGAGGAUGAGUACUAGGCACCAGUAGAUGAAUGUUAAGGUUAAUCGCAGGGAACAUGAGCUACCUCUCUUCAUGAAAAAUGAAAUCUGUGUAAUAAGCGAGACAGCUCCCCUGAGGAAGGACAAGAUGAGGCCCUGUUUCAUCCAUCUGAAUUUUAACUUGCCUGAGGUAUUCCUUCAUACCUGGCAUUUUCCUAGCAUCUGUGACCUACAUCAUCUGUUUACAGCGCUGAAUAAUAUUCUAUUGCCUGGAUGGACCACAGUUUAUCCAUUCACCUACUGAAGAGCAUCCUGUUUGCUUCCAAGUUUUGAAGCGGAUCCAGUUAUGGAAGCCAGUGACUUUGCCUUUUUUGACUUCACCUAUAAUAAAGAGUUCAAGAUACUCCAGAAGAGACCGUUCUUCAAAAACGGCUCCUCAGACGUGUCCCUCCCCGUUAGCUGGCUUGGCUGCCGAUUCAUCAGUGCCCAAUGCCAUCCUACUCCUGAGGGAAGCUCUCUUCCUUCCUCCAACUCUUUCUUUCCAAGCAGAAUAAUCUCACCUGAGA